Molecule: non-coding RNA, 75 nt
Organism: Streptomyces violaceusniger Tu 4113
Lineage: Bacteria; Bacillati; Actinomycetota; Actinomycetes; Kitasatosporales; Streptomycetaceae
Source: Rfam
CUUGAUCGAGCCGAGCCACAGCGGCCCGACCUCCGGCCUGCCCUGGCCGUACGUGGCCAGCAGCGCCUGCGCCUC